Molecule: non-coding RNA, 100 nt
Organism: Gossypium hirsutum (cotton)
Lineage: Eukaryota; Viridiplantae; Streptophyta; Magnoliopsida; Malvales; Malvaceae
Source: Rfam
GUUGAGGAUGACAUCCGAUAAAAUUGGAACGAUACAAAGAAGAUUAGCAUGGCCCCUGCGCAAGGUUGACACAAUUAAAUGUCUGCUUUAGUGGUUAAUG